Long non-coding RNA from Symphalangus syndactylus (siamang), 986 nucleotides. RefSeq lists it as uncharacterized. The record is from RefSeq and is a predicted model, not a curated record. Lineage: Eukaryota; Metazoa; Chordata; Mammalia; Primates; Hylobatidae.
UCUCUCUCUCUGGGGGAAGCCAGCUGCCAGGUCAUGAGGUUACCCAAGCAGCCCUGUGGAAGCACUCUCUCAUGUUGCUGGUACUGUUGGCCCAAGAACACAUUUUGAGAAGACUGGCCUAGAAGAACCAACAACGUGGGCUUCUUAUGGGCAGAUGGCACUGGAGAAGAGGGUGAGACUCAGUGUCUUCUCCCAAAUUUUCAUAUCAAAUAAAACCUCUUUCCCCAGAGAGAAGUAACAAGAGAGGCAGAAGGAAAUGAUUCUAACAGAAGUUCUAACCACAUGGAAGGAAGCAUUAGCAGUGAGGAAUAACUGUUCUCUCCCUAAACAUACCACCCAAGGGAAUACUAAAUUAGCAUGAAGAGCAUACGCCUGUGAUCUCAGCUAUUCGGGAUGCAGAGGCAGGAGGAUCACAUGAGCUCAGAAGCUCAAGCCCAGCCUGGGCAACAUAGAAAGACAUAGACUAAAAAAGGAAAAAAAAGGAAGAAAAAAAAAAAGAAGGAAAAAAAUUAGCAUGAAGAAUUCAAGGGAGACAAGACAACAGAGCCACCUUCCUAGCCAAGAAAAACCCCAGCUUGCAGUUUACUGAAUAGAAGUGUGCCACUUGACAGAGUAGUUUUAAUGACACUGAACCUUUUGUGAGUUUUGCACUUCUCUUGGCUGAAGUCUUCAAACUGGCUCAAAGAAGCUCCAGUCUCUUCAUUCUUGUGUCUUAGGAGAGACUGAUGAGAGAGCAAAACCAUUGGUCAGAAGUGAUACCCUGCUCUGAUGGACAGAAGCUGAGCUGAAGAUACAUGAUGUGUAGACCUGGCCUCAGGGAGAAGAUGAAGAACACUCAGUGAGUAAAGAUACAAAGCAGGGAAGAUAUCAUCGACAAUAGAAGACAAGCUGAUCAUUCAGAUAGCAAAGGACUGGGAGCACGGUCUCAGUGUGCAUGUAAAAGAAAGAAGCCAAUAGCCAAAAAUUAAUGAUCAUCCUGAGGGGCC